RNAcentral lists this ribosomal RNA (1212 nucleotides) under Triticum aestivum (bread wheat). RNAcentral describes it as "partial small subunit ribosomal RNA". The record is from RNAcentral. Lineage: Eukaryota; Viridiplantae; Streptophyta; Magnoliopsida; Poales; Poaceae.
CAACGAAACAUCAUAUGUGCGGGUGCGCCGGCGACAGAGAUCACGGCACCAUUGCCCCUCCCAGCCGAUCUCCUGCUUGAGAUCGUGGCGCGCACCGACCUUUUCACUCUCGUCCGGUGUGCUGCCACCGGCAAGCACCUCCGCCGUGAAAUCCUAAGCACGUCAUUCCUUCGCCGCGUCACCCAACACAUGGCUCCCUCCAUCCUCGCCUACCUCCCCACCUACGACGAAGGGCCCCUAACUCUGACUCUGGUCCACCCACUGACACCCGCCGCUGCGUCUUUUUGCCAUGACCACCUCUCGCCGUUCAUGUCACGCCGCACGGCCAGCCUCCUCGAGCAAUACAGUCCAGUUGCAUUCCGCGGCGGCCUUGUCAUCCUCAGCCACUUACAUGUCAAUACACGACACAAGUACAAGCACUGUUUGGACAUGUGUGUGUACAAUCCUAUGACAGGUCAAACCACCUUCCUCUCAAAAUCGCCCUAUGUCCAUAUUAGCAUCACCACCUUCCAUGAGUACAUCCUGCUCACCACUGCGGAUGGCAUCGACUGCUCCUUCAUGCUGCUUUUCAUGGAUCGCGACUUGUGUAAGAGCAUCAAAGUACACACUGCCACAUCAUCCUCUAGUACCUGGGGGCCUCCCGUUACUUACGACAGGCACCGUGACUCCUUGUGGUGGUCAGUCCAUGACUACAGCCAACCCACAAUCCUCCACGGUGGUGUUCUCCACUGGCUAGCGGACCAUGGCAAACAAAUCCUCACCUAUGAUGUGAGGACCAGAAUGUCGGGACGGGUGAAGCUCCCACCUACCAACUGCAAUGAAAAGCAGCUACACUUGGCAACGUCGUCAGACGGGAGCAUACUGAAAUUGAUCACUAUAGAUGGGUUCAUGCUAUCCAUGUGGCUACACAUCCCCACAGUACUAGCAAGUUGUGGUGGUGCUAGUGGUUGGGCGCUGGAAGGUGUGAUCGAUGUAGAGGAUAAGCUGCGGUCGUUGUACCCAGACCUUCCUAUUGUAGCUGGCUCUGAUGUACUAGUUGAGCUUAAUGGAUCUGGAAAGAGGAACGGAGACGUGGUUGAAUUGCAGGUGCAUGAUCGAGAUUGCGUGUUUCUUGAUAUGAAGACAAAGGAGAUGCAUCGGCAAAAGUAUGGCUCCUGCUCCCCGUUGUUUGAGAUUGACUUGCCAUCUCACCUACAAACCAUGAAAGUUUUC